GACGAACGCUGGCGGCGUGCUUAACACAUGCCAGUCGAACGGAAAGGCCCUGCUUUUGUGGGGUGCUCGAGUGGCGAACGGGUGAGUAACACGUGAGUAACCUGCCCUUGACUUUGGGAUAACUUCAGGAAACUGGGGCUAAUACCGGAUAGGAGCUCCUGCUGCAUGGUGGGGGUUGGAAAGUUUCGGCGGUUGGGGAUGGACUCGCGGCUUAUCAGCUUGUUGGUGGGGUAGUGGCUUACCAAGGCUUUGACGGGUAGCCGGCCUGGGAGGGUGACCGGCCACAAUGGGAAUGAGGAACGGGCCAGAAUCCUACGGGAAGCAAGAGGGGGGAAUAAUGGAAAAUGGGGGGGAGGCUGGAGGAACAACGCCGGGGGGGGGAUGACGGCCUUCGGGUUGUAAACCGCUUUCGCCUGUGACGAAGCGUGAGUGACGGUAAUGGGUAAAGAAGCACCGGCUAACUACGUG
RNAcentral lists this ribosomal RNA (468 nucleotides) under uncultured bacterium. RNAcentral describes it as "partial 16S ribosomal RNA". It matches the Rfam family "Bacterial small subunit ribosomal RNA", at positions 28 to 507 of the family's 1533-position model. The record is from RNAcentral.